UCUGUCACCCCGUGGAUCUCCAGGGUUCAUUCAGCUGAUCUGGCUGGCUAGGUAGG
This 56-nucleotide small RNA is filed under the name Jaculus jaculus (lesser Egyptian jerboa). Its description in RNAcentral is "7SK RNA (ENSJJAG00000006481.1)". It matches the Rfam family "7SK RNA", at positions 28 to 83 of the family's 331-position model. Rfam says of the family: 7SK was discovered as an abundant small nuclear RNA in the mid-70s but a possible function has only recently been suggested. Two independent studies have found that 7SK RNA binds the CDK9/cyclin T complex (known as elongation factor P-TEFb). Lineage: Eukaryota; Metazoa; Chordata; Mammalia; Rodentia; Dipodidae. The record is from Rfam by way of RNAcentral.